Long non-coding RNA from Rhipicephalus microplus (southern cattle tick), 193 nucleotides. The record is from RefSeq and is a predicted model, not a curated record. NCBI's taxonomy places the organism in Eukaryota, Metazoa, Arthropoda, Arachnida, Ixodida, Ixodidae.
GCCUGGCAGUCCCCCACGUCUCAGCACUGUCCAUUUUGGCAAAAGUGCGCCUUCCAGUCCCCCAAGCCUAGACAGUGUCUACUUUGGUGGAGUUAUGCCUGGCAGUCCUCCUAGUCUUCAAACUGUCUUCCGAAAUGGAAUUCCGCCUUCCAGUCCCCCAAGUCUUGACACUGUCUUCUUUGGUGGAAAUAAG